Molecule: ribosomal RNA, 254 nt
Filed under: uncultured bacterium
Lineage: Bacteria
Description: partial 16S ribosomal RNA
Rfam family: Bacterial small subunit ribosomal RNA
Source: RNAcentral
UACGUAGGGUGCGAGCGUUGUCCGGAAUUAUUGGGCGUAAAGAGCUCGUAGGCGGUGUGUCACGUCGGCCGUGAAAACCUGCAGCUUAACUGUGGGCGUGCGGUCGAUACGGGCAUCACUGGAGUUCGGCAGGGGAGACUGGAAUUCCUGGUGUAGCGGUGAAAUGCGCAGAUAUCAGGAGGAACACCGGUGGCGAAGGCGGGUCACUGGGCCAUACCUGACGCUGAGACGCGAAAGCGUGGGGAGCAAACAGG